GACGAACGCUGGCGGCGUGCUUAACACAUGCAAGUCGAACGGAAAGGCCCUGCUUUUGUGGGGUGCUCGAGUGGCGAACGGGUGAGUAACACGUGAGUAACCUGCCCUUGACUUUGGGAUAACUUCAGGAAACUGGGGCUAAUACCGGAUAGGAGCUCCUGCUGCAUGGUGGGGGUUGGAAAGUUUCGGCGGUCGGGGAUGGACUCGCGGCUUAUCAGCUUGUUGGUGGGGUAGUGGCUUACCAAGGCUUUGCCGGGUAGCCGGCCUGAGAGGGUGACCGGCGACAUUGGGACUGAGAUACGGCCCAGACUCCUACGGGAGGCAGCAGUGGGGAGUAUGACACAAUGGGCGGAAGCCUGAUGCAGCAACGCCGCGUGCGGGAUGACGGCCUUCGGGUUGUAAACCGCUGUCGCCUGUGACGAAGCGUGAGUGACGGUAAUGGGUAAAGAAGCACCGGCUAACUACGUG
This 468-nucleotide ribosomal RNA is filed under the name uncultured bacterium. RNAcentral describes it as "partial 16S ribosomal RNA". It matches the Rfam family "Bacterial small subunit ribosomal RNA", at positions 28 to 507 of the family's 1533-position model. The record is from RNAcentral.